CCGGUAGUCCUCACUCUUGAUUGUAGUUGAUGUGUGUUUGCUAUCUCUUUGCCUCCGCAAUGAGCUAUUUCAUGACAAAAAAAAUUGACUUAUUACAAAUUCUUGAAUUAACUAUCAAUAUGAAUUUGUACUUGAUAGAUAUGUCCAAUUCAAAUCGAAAAAAUCCGAACAAUAUUUUGAAUUCAUCAUGAGAUAAUGAGUUUAACCCGAUUAACUUAUCAAAAUAUAACAUAAAUUCUUCUGUUAAAAUAAUUUUGGAGGAAAGAUCAUCUUAUAUAAGUUGGACUUAUGUUUAAUGGAUAUGAACAAUAAAACUUACUCACACUAAUAAUUAUCUUAAAUUUAUAUACAUAAUUUUUUUAAAUGUAACCUCGAUUUGUGUAUUGGAAUAUGAGCCAAUAAAAUUAAAAUAAAAUAAAUAGUUGAGCAUAUUAAAAAAUAUAAUUUCUAUCAACUCCUUUAAAAGAUCCUAAAAUGAUCAUGAAUUAUGCUUAGUUUUGAUGAAUAUGUCUACUUCAAGUAACUUAAUCUGAUUAGUGUUUUAAAUUAGCUAAGAGAUAAUAACUCGUUAUUCGAUUCGCUUAUGAAAAUGUAAUCUCAAUUAACUCAUUAAGAAAAUCUUGAAAAAAGGAUAUUGUUAUAUGGGAUAUGCUUAUAGUUUGAUGUAUAUAUAUGAUUUAAACUGACUCAUCUAUUAAUAUUUUAAAUUGAUUAUAUUAUUCGAUUAAUUUAGAAAAUGUAACAAUCAAUUGACUCGUUAAAAUAAAAGAAUCAAUAAAGUUAAAAUAGAGGCAGGUCAAAACAGAUUUCUGACUCUUGAAAGGGUACUGUCCAGCUGAAGCAGAAACACAAAACAGAUAGCUUAUUCAAUCAAUCAACCAUAGCUAAAAUCAAAUGCCAGCUUCCCAAGCAGCUGAAAGAACCAAGUACUGCUAUACAAACAACCUAAUCACUCAGAUUCAUUAACAACUUCAGAUUCUAAGUAACAUUCACACUGUAAAAAAGAAUCCCCCCGCCAAAAUGACUACUUACAGGGUGUCUGAAAGCGCUGGCGGGAUGAUUAAGACAGGUUCCAAACAACCAGAACCAGGAAUCCCUAGAGUUAAGAAGCAUCGUCAUCCCGCUGUGCUCGGUACUCACACCUCUAACUCCCUGCAAAAACCAUAUCAAUCCAUAAGAGGAUGCAUUUGCUUGUGAUGUGCAUGAAUCAAACGAGGAUAGUUUCGAUUUGGGCGGGUCAGUGUUUACUCUAUAGUGUUUGUUAGAGCGAUCGGAGACUAGAGAAUCGCUCAAUCGCCGACUUCCGGUUGGCGAAAAUGACAAAGCCGAAGGAGG
RNAcentral lists this long non-coding RNA (1335 nucleotides) under Linum usitatissimum (flax). RNAcentral describes it as "long non-coding RNA (LUSI_LNC005472)". The record is from RNAcentral. Lineage: Eukaryota; Viridiplantae; Streptophyta; Magnoliopsida; Malpighiales; Linaceae.